GGGUGAGAGACACGGCAGAGGGCUUUGAAGGGUUGACAUCGCAUAAUGUCAUUGAACAGACAUGAGAAAGAUCAGCUUUCAGCAUGAAAACACGGAACUUAAGGGCAGUUGAAUCCAGAGAGUUUUAAUUCUUCAAAGCUAGAAGUAACUCUCUGCACGGAGAGGUUGUCACAGUAAACCCAGGGAAGAAAGCAGCCUCAGUGCGUUACCUGAAGUAGUGAGCUGCCAGACCGCUCUCCACACAGCACAGCAACUGUGGCUUCUCGGUCGUCCACGGGGAGUUUCCAGAACAUAGUGUAUAUCUCAUGGUAUUAGCGUCCCGGGUUUAUCUAGGAAUCACGGCGGUUUUGCCCGUGAUCCUCCUUUCAGGGCUCUAGUACGAAGAGUGGGAAGGACUAACUUCACUUGUUUUGCUUGUAUGACCUUAUUAUACAAAUUCUGAUCAGAAGUCAUGGCAGAAAAUGUGUGUUUCAAAACUGCUCUUGCUCCUUGGCUGCCUGAUGAACUGCGUUGCUAACCCUUGUGUUGUUGGGCUAUUAACAGUUCGCAUGGACUCACGUCACUUUACUGAUAACCGUCACUCAGUCACAUCUUGUCAUCCAAAAUCUGUUUGAAGGCAUGAUAUGGUUCCUUGUCCCCAUAUCAAGCGUCAUCUGCAAUGAUAUCACGGCUUACCUUUUUGGAUUUUUUUUUGGAAGAACUCCUUUAAUUAAGCUGUCUCCUAAGAAGACCUGGGAAGGAUUCAUUGGUGGUUUCUUCUCCACAGUCAUAUUUGGAUUCAUUGCUGCCUAUGUGUUGUCCAAGUAUCAGUACUUUGUGUGCCCGGUGGAGUACCGAAGCGACGUCAACUCCUUCGUGACAGAAUGUGAGCCCUCAGAACUGUUCCAGCUUCAGAAUUACUCCCUCCCUCCGUUCCUACAGGCAGUGCUGAGCCGGGUGAGACAAUCGUCCCUUUAACAUGGUUAGAGCUGUCCCGCCCCACUAAGCUGCCUUUAAAAAGAAGCUCUGAUUUUUAAAGAAAGAUAUAGAGGUGGAUUGUGUGUGUGUCCUCUUCAAGUGGAUGUUAACAGUUCAGGGUAUUUGUUUGUAUAGUAGGAAUUUAUUUGCAUAAUGAUUUAAAUACUGGUAGCAAUUUCGUUUGUGUUGUCUAAGUGUUUUAAAACAUUUAAAAAUAAAUUAAAAAAAUUUUUACAAAUAAAUGAUUUGAAUU
This 1210-nucleotide long non-coding RNA is filed under the name Rattus norvegicus (Norway rat). Its description in RNAcentral is "long non-coding RNA NONRATT009736". The record is from RNAcentral. Lineage: Eukaryota; Metazoa; Chordata; Mammalia; Rodentia; Muridae.